ACAAGCGGUGGAGCGAUGUGGUUUAAUUCGACGCAACGCGAAGAACCUUACCUGGGCUCGAACGGUUGACGACGCCCGCUAGAAGUAGUGGGGUUUCCUUCGGGAACGGCAAUCGAGGUGCUGCAUGGCUGUCGUCAGCUCGUGUCGUGAGAUGUUGGGUUAAGUCCCGCAACGAGCGCAACCCUUGUCCUGUGUUGCUAAUCUUCGGAUGCACUCUCAGGAGACCGCCAGCGACAAGCUGGAGGAAGGUGGGGAUGACGUCAAGUCAGCAUGGCCUUUAUGUCCAGGGCUACACACGUGCUACAAUGGGCAGGACAACGCGUCGCGAACCCGCGAGGGGGAGCUAAUCGUAUAAACCUGUUCUCAGUUCGGAUUGCAGGCUGCAACUCGCCUGCAUGAAGCUGGAAUCGCUAGUAAUGGCAGAUCAGCAUGCUGCCGUGAAUACGUUCCCGGGCCUU
RNAcentral lists this ribosomal RNA (458 nucleotides) under uncultured Acidobacteriaceae bacterium. Its description in RNAcentral is "bacterial SSU rRNA". It matches the Rfam family "Bacterial small subunit ribosomal RNA", at positions 925 to 1382 of the family's 1533-position model. The record is from RNAcentral. Lineage: Bacteria; Pseudomonadati; Acidobacteriota; Terriglobia; Terriglobales; Acidobacteriaceae.